CUACGGGUCGCUGCAGUGGGGAAUAUUGCACAAUGGAGGAAACUCUGAUGCAGCAACGCCGCGUGGAGGAUGACACUUUUCGGAGCGUAAACUCCUUUUAUAUAGGAAGAAGAUGACGGUACUAUAUGAAUAAGCGCCGGCUAACUCCGUGCCAGCAGCCGCGGUAAUACGGAGGGCGCAAGCGUUACUCGGAAUCACUGGGCGUAAAGAGCGUGUAGGCGGAUUAAAAAGUCAGAAGUGAAAUCCUAUAGCUUAACUAUAGAACUGCUUCUGAAACUCUUAAUCUAGAAUAUGGGAGAGGUAGAUGGAAUUUCUGGUGUAGGUGUAAAAUCCGUAGAGAUCAGAAGGAAUACCGAUUGCUAAGUCGACCUACUAGAACAUUAUUGACUCUGAGACGCGAACUCGUGGGUAGCAAACCGGAUUAGAUACCCCCGUAGUC
RNAcentral lists this ribosomal RNA (439 nucleotides) under uncultured bacterium. RNAcentral describes it as "partial 16S ribosomal RNA". It matches the Rfam family "Bacterial small subunit ribosomal RNA", at positions 339 to 795 of the family's 1533-position model. The record is from RNAcentral.